UUGUUUGUAUUUGUUGAUACUCAGACAUUCGCUAAGAAGGGUUGUGGUUAUCCCGCGCGGGCUUGCGCCCGCUCGAGCAACAGUGUACGGUAGACAGAGGGAGGGACGGUGCGACCGGACGGCCGACCAGAACCUGUUAAUGAUCCCUCCGCAGGUUCACCUACGGAGA
Molecule: unclassified non-coding RNA, 169 nt
Filed under: uncultured fungus
Lineage: Eukaryota; Fungi
Description: sequence contains ITS1
Source: RNAcentral